ACGGGAGGCAGCAGUGAGGAAUAUUGGUCAAUGGGCGGAAGCCUGAACCAGCCAAGUAGCGUGCAGGAUGACGGCCCUAUGGGUUGUAAACUGCUUUUGUGCGGGGAUAAAAAGCGGGACGUGUCCCGCCUUGUAGGUACCGCAAGAAAAAGGACCGGCUAAUUCCGUGCCAGCAGCCGCGGUAAUACGGAAGGUCCGGGCGUUAUCCGGAUUUAUUGGGUUUAAAGGGAGCGUAGGCGGGCCUUUAAGUCAGUGGUCAAAGCGUGUGGCUCAACCAUACCACGCCGUUGAUACUGGAGGCCUUGAGUGCACAUAAGGAUGGUGGAAUUCAUGGUGUAGCGGUGAAAUGCUUAGAUAUCAUGAAGAACUCCGAUUGCGAAGGCAGCUGUCCGGGGUGUAACUGACGCUAAUGCUCGAAAGUGCGGGUAUCAAACAGGAUUAGAUACCCUGGUA
Molecule: ribosomal RNA, 453 nt
Filed under: uncultured Prevotella sp.
Lineage: Bacteria; Pseudomonadati; Bacteroidota; Bacteroidia; Bacteroidales; Prevotellaceae
Description: partial 16S ribosomal RNA
Rfam family: Bacterial small subunit ribosomal RNA
Source: RNAcentral